Molecule: long non-coding RNA, 531 nt
Organism: Artibeus jamaicensis (Jamaican fruit-eating bat)
Lineage: Eukaryota; Metazoa; Chordata; Mammalia; Chiroptera; Phyllostomidae
Exons: 3
Source: RefSeq, a predicted model, not a curated record
GAGUCCGAGACGAUUAGGACCACUGUCCCAACCUGUCGGAGUUUACAGUUUACCCGUGAGGAGAGGAAGGGAACGGGAAAGCAAUAGACGACGUCUAGAACACUGACGUGGCUGCCCAGUUGUCCACCAGCUGCCUCUGCCCAGUCCUCAGACUUCGUUCCACUUGUUCUCUGAACCCGGCAAAAUAGAGCUGGUCACCUUUCAGUUCCUCAGAUUCACCACAUUCUCCUGAACGUCUGUGACUGUGAUCUGCUGCUGCCUCCAGGUCACAAAGGUCCUCUUCAUUUCAUCUUCUGAAAAGUGUUUGUUUGCCCGAUCUCAUUACGACUAGUUUGCACCUGGAGCUGAUUUGUACUCAUGCUGGGAGGCAGGGCUCAUGUUUCAGCUCUGCAGCAGCAGUUUGUUGAAAGGACUGUCUUUCUUCACUACUCUGCAGGGGGGCAUUUGGCAUAAAUAAAGUGUCCGUGUUUGCAUGUUUUUGUUUCUGGGUCCCCUGUUAUAUUAUUUGUUCAUCCCCCCCACAGUACUACA